UGCAUCGGCCAGGAUUCGAACCCGCCCGCGUGGCAGGCGAGCAUUCUACCACUGAACCAAAAGC
RNAcentral lists this transfer RNA (64 nucleotides) under Cordylochernes scorpioides. Its description in RNAcentral is "tRNA-Gly". Lineage: Eukaryota; Metazoa; Arthropoda; Arachnida; Pseudoscorpiones; Chernetidae. The record is from RNAcentral.